Molecule: non-coding RNA, 149 nt
Filed under: uncultured Slackia sp.
Lineage: Bacteria; Bacillati; Actinomycetota; Coriobacteriia; Eggerthellales; Eggerthellaceae
Description: FMN riboswitch (RFN element)
Rfam family: FMN riboswitch aptamer (RFN element)
About the family: The RFN element is a highly conserved domain that is found frequently in the 5'-untranslated regions of prokaryotic mRNAs that encode for flavin mononucleotide (FMN) biosynthesis and transport proteins. This element is a metabolite-dependent riboswitch that directly binds FMN in the absence of proteins.
Source: RNAcentral
GUUUCAGGGCGGGGCGAAAUUCCCCACUGGCGGUAACCGGCGCGGCGCGCAGCGCCUCCGGAAGUCCGCGACCCCGAUCCGGCCUUCGGUCGAAUCGGGCUGAUUCGGUGAGAAUCCGAGACCAACGGUCACAGUCCGGAUGGAAGAGG